RNAcentral lists this ribosomal RNA (253 nucleotides) under uncultured bacterium. RNAcentral's name for it is "partial 16S ribosomal RNA". It matches the Rfam family "Bacterial small subunit ribosomal RNA", at positions 524 to 776 of the family's 1533-position model. The record is from RNAcentral.
UACGUAGGGGGCAAGCGUUGUCCGGAAUCAUUGGGCGUAAAGCGCGUGUAGGCGGCUUGGUAAGUCUGCUCUGAAAGCCCGGGGCUCAACCCCGGGAGGCGGGUGGAUACUUCUCUGCUUGAGCACUGUAGAGGCAGGUGGAAUUCCGGGUGUAGCGGUGGAAUGCGUAGAGAUCCGGAAGAACACCGGUGGCGAAGGCGGCCUGCUGGGCAGUAGCUGACGCUGAGGCGCGACAGCGUGGGGAGCAAACAGG